This 8393-nucleotide long non-coding RNA is filed under the name Helianthus annuus (common sunflower). Its description in RNAcentral is "hypothetical non coding rna". The record is from RNAcentral. Lineage: Eukaryota; Viridiplantae; Streptophyta; Magnoliopsida; Asterales; Asteraceae.
AUGUCUGGUCGUACAAAGAAGCAGGAGGCGAUGGGUUUCUUCAAACCCUAAAAUCCUUACUAAAACUCUCAAAUUGGAGGUGCAAAUCUGGUCCAAAACGAAAAUCGAGCAUAGAUUACCGAUCCCCAUUGCAAGGGGGUUGUAAGUUUGACUCUUGACAAGCUAGAUGGAGGCUUGGAAUGAAGCGGGUCAAACGGAGCAAGUAUGAAAAGGAAAGCGUAAUUUGGAUGCGAGGUAAGUAAAGCUUACGCCCUCUUUUGUAAGUUAUGUGUUUAUUCAUAGGUUGUAAAUACGACAAAAGCUAUAUUUGAAAUAUGGUUCCGACACGAAAUGAAACGGGUCGGGACAUAUAAAAUAAUGAUAAACCAUGUUUAAUGGUAAAAUGGGCGAAAUGGUAAUUGGUCACGAGAUGACCUAUAUAUAAAAUGAGUUUUUAAAUGGCUACUUAUUAAGGUAAGCCUAAACGAAUAAAAAGAGUAAAACGACGAAUUAGUCAUGUGUAGACGAAAAAGAGUUGAAGUUUAAAACAACACCAUUUAAUAUUAAGCACAAAAUAUUUGGUAGUCUAGACCAAACGGGUCAAAUUGUAAUAUUUAUACCAUUUGACAAUUAACGACUAAUAAGUGUAUGUCGAGUCUCAUGCUCGCAGGGUAAUUGGUUUAUGAAUUAGCGAGGCUAUGAAUUAGCAUAUUAUAGAGACAAGGUCUUAAAACGGGUCAAUAUGUUGACCCGAGCCAGGUACGCUUAUAUAUAUAGAUGUAUAGUUAAAAGUGUUUAACUUCCCUUCAUGGGUCAAAAGGAGUAGAUAGGUAAAACGGGUUAAGAAUUCAUAAGAAACCCGUAAUUUGAACCUUGCACAUUAGUAAAUUGAUAUAACGUGAUAUGCAUGAUAUUUUGAAUAUGAUUGAUUGAUCUUUGAUAUUGGUUCAUAUGUAACAUAUUAGAAUUUCGAGAAACUAAUGUAUUGGUAUGUUAGAAAGAGCGAAAUCCGAGAUUUAGGCUUGAGUAUAAUGAACAAAGCAACCAAAAGAUGGAUUUACAGGGACUACCGUAAGUUACGGUAGUACCGUAAGUUACGGUAGAGGUCAGGAGCUUACGGUGUGAGUCUACUGGUUUACGGUGGACCAUUAUUGGAAAUUGACUACCGUAGGGCCUGAAUGUUUAUAAAUUUUAUAUAAUUGUAAAUUUUCAAAUUCAUUUCGAUCGUAGUUUCGAUCAAGUAUCAUUUCUAAGCAUUCUAAUAUAAAUGUUUAUGUAAACAUUUCAGUCUUAGGUACUCAAGGAUUAUGGGUGACGAUCAAGCAACUUUUGAAGGACCGAACACAUACUCUUGAAGCUUCCGCAUAAAUCAACUCGGUUUAAACAAUGUUUAUGAUAUAAACUGUUUGCUAAACAACUUUUGAAAUGUUUAAACGACGUACUCAAUUAUGUUAUGUUGUAUUAUUUUAAAAUUGUAAAGUUUAAACAAACCCGUAUUUUUACAAAGUAUAUGUAGUCAUAAUUACAUGUUGUUUGUCGUAUACUUUACAAAAACCAUUAAAUAAUGACAAGGGUGUUACAAAUUGGUAUCAGAGCUCAUGGUUAAAGAGUAAAUUGUGUUCGGUUCGAGGCUUGAUCGCAAAUCCGGUAAGUACAUGUAUAUUAAUGGUUUGUUAUGUGUUGAAAUGUUGUGAACAACACAUAGGGUUAUCGUGUGAUACACGUUAUCUCAAUUAAAUGAUAAAUAUAGUUGACAAAAUUGCGCGCGUUGGCGCGUAUAGUAGAAAAGCCUUGUAUUAUAAUACGAGCGAUUAUUGAAGUUGAUAUUACUAAUUCUUGUAAAUGUUUUAAUUGAAGGACACUCGCAUCUGAAGAUAGCGAGAGUUUAACAAAUUGCAGAUAUGAUGAGGGAACGUUCCGAGAUGUGACAAGAAGAGCAUACUCAUCAAGGACCUAAAUCGCGUAACGAUCGCAAAUAAGUAAUGGUAAGGAAUGGCCGUUGGGGCAAGCAUUACCAGGUGCACAUUUUAAACUUAUAGUACAAACAGUAAUAUGCAACAAAUACAUAGUGAAUGACAGUUGCAUAUAGAAUAUGAAACUUGGAAAACCUGGAUAGGUCCUAUCCAGGAUGACGUUUCCAAGAGAAAUUCAGUAGAGAAUAUGUAUUAUUCACAAAUUGUGAAUAACAAGACAAUAACAGAAUUCAGUUUAUAUAGAAACUUGGACGAGAGUGAUCAUCCAUGUAAGUAUUCUCAAUAUAAAUCCUAUUGAGAAAAGUAAUGAUCACAUCAACGAAUGUGAAUAAAUGUUUAUAAAAAGGGACAUUUUAAAUGUUCAAGGAUAAACGACUAAAACUAAUAAUUGUUAACUAACAAUUAAAUAAAGUUUUACCAAAUGAAAUCAUAAAUAUGGAGAUAAUUUGAGGAGUUACUUACAUGGGACGUGAUGUGGUAAUUAUAAUAAGGUCACGCGUACCAUGUGUUGAUCGCUUACUCUGGCCAAGUAAGUAGUGAACACAUGAUAGCAUGAGCUUAUUAUAAUGAGCGCAGUUAUGUCCGAUGUAGUAAGGUCAAGAUGAAUGAAAAUUUAAAGGAUCCUUAGGGUCAAGAAAUCUUAUGGGCAUACUCGUAUAAAUGGUUUUCGCGGGAACCAUAAAAACGAUGUAUGGCGCACAUAGAAACAAAAGACCCAAGGAAAUUCGUGACAUAAGUCAUUUUGGACGAAACAACCAUGGUAGACAAAAAGGGCAUUGUAAAACCAAAGUAUAAAUGACCCGCGGGGUCAUAGAAACAAAGGUAUUGCCCACAUGAGAAAAACGAUCAAAGUCGUUGACUUUGGUCGUAGUAAAGAAAUAAUGAUGAUGAUAAUCAUCAUUCAUAGUUUAUAAGACUGUCAAGGAUGGUCAAAUAAAGAAUAAAGGUUUGGUUGAAUAAAAGCAAUGGAUUUCGCUAAGACAACCAAACAAAUUAAAACGAAAUCUUAAUGUAUACCGGAAUGCUUGCACUAAUAAUGACUUCGGUAAAGUACCCGGUUGAUGGGUAAGGAUUUAGAAACAUGCGUAAACCGAGAAACGGGAACACGAAUUUAAAGUCAAAAGACUCGGAUUACGAGUUAUGACUAUAAAAUCUCGUAUAUAGAAAUUGUGAGUAAAUAUGUUCAACUAUUCGAAGUCGAAUGGGUUGAAUAAAGAAUAAAGUUGAUUGUUUAUAAGUGAUGGAUUUCACAUUAAUAAGUCAAACAGGUUGAAUACAAUAUAACGCCGAAUGGCACAAGUGAGCGCUAGCCAGAGAAAGGUAGCGUUAAAUGCAAGAGAAUAAUGAGCCCGGUAAUGGGAUAUAACCAAAUAAGAAUAUAUGCAAAUCAAAUAACAGUAAGCAUAAGAAGAACUGACGCAUAAAUGACGUGAGAAGUCAUAAAAUCGGAAAAUCGUCCGAAAGAAAACAAUUAUAGCCAUGAAACUACAAUUAAGGUUAACGGGACCUAAGCUUGAAACCAAAUAAUUCUUCGAACAAAAACAGGGUGCCUUGACACCAAACAUGUGUUUUAAGAAUGACAUGAGUAAGGAGUGAUCUACGGGAUCAACAUAACCUUUAGGGUUACAAACAAAUGAAAGAUCUACGGGACUAAAACGACCCACGGGUCAUGAUUAGAAAGAAGUUAUAAGGACUUCGCCCUAAAGAGGUGAACGUCUAAUCAAAAUAGCCCAUAAGGCUAAGUGAUAAAAACCUACGGGUUAAUUAGAUAAAGCGAGGGAAUCAGUUGAGAAUCCCCGCAUAAAACUAAGACUGUAAAAGAAUAAAUUAUGGACUGUCAAUAUCCUGGUAUGGAUAAUUGACAAAAGUUAAAGAGAAGAUCCUAAAACUAAAACUUCGGUUUUAGUAAGAAAUAGCGUUUUUACAAACAUAAAUUCUGAUAGGAAUUUAAAAAGUAAGCAUGAAAGAUACAAGUCUUGACACUGAUAGGCGCAAGACGAUAUAUUCGAAAAGUGAUAUUUUCGAAAAUGAAAGGUUGAUACAAACUAAACACGAUGUGACACGAUCACGGUUAGGAAAUGUAAUGUGAAGUAAAAUAACGUUAUAACCAAGCGAGCGGUGAGAAGUAACGGGACUAAUAAGUCUAGUUAGUAAGACCGGUUAAGGCAAGUAAUUCAAAUCAAUAAAAAAAUUGGUUUGCUUGUAAGCGGUGGAUUCGGUAUAACUGAACCGAAUAAAUAAAUCUGAAAACAAAAGAAAUUAUUGCUAAAAGUGAAAUAUUUCACUAAAGACCUUUAAACGGGUCAAGGUAACGGAUUCACCAAGAGUUCGAUAAUAUAUAAAAGCGAUGGAAAUCGCUAAGUUAACUAAACUAGUAGAAAUAACGGAAUUACGUUAUUUCAAAUUACAUUAUGUCGUAUGAGGUACGUAGAGGUUCUGUAACCAAAAAGAUAUUACCAAAAUUUUUCUGGUAAUACUAACAAUUGGUUAAAAUAUGAAUAAUGCUUAAGAGAUUACUCAGGUCAAACGCAUUGAGUUUAGAACUCAAUGAACUAUGUAAGCAAGGUUUCGAGGACGAAACCUCUUUAAGGGGGGUAGACUUGUAACACCCCGAAAACGGGCUUGGUAAUUAAACUCUGUUAAUACUAAAAGACGGGUAACGUACCGUUAUUAGUAAAAAUAACCCGGCAAAUAUUUGGAUUUAAAUAAGAAAUCCUAAUAUUAAAUAAAAACGAAUCAAAGUUUUAAGUAAUUAAGUUUAUAAAAGGCCCGAUUUAACGGGACUUAAAGUAAAAGGGGUUACGACUUCCCGAACCUACUAAGCUAACUAGGAAUAAUUCUAACCUAGUUAGAUAGUGACUUAUGAGUGGGUUAAAACACUUAAAUUAUGAACUAAGGAAAAUGAAGGGGCCAAAGAUGUUAAAAUCGAAACUUAUGUUGCUAAUUUAAUUAAAACAAAAACCAAACACCCCAUUUGGGGAUGUCUGGUCGUACAAAGAAGCAGGAGGCGAUGGGUUUCUUCAAACCCUAAAAUCCUUACUAAAACUCUCAAAUUGGAGGUGCAAAUCUGGUCCAAAACGAAAAUCGAGCAUAGAUUACUGAUCCCCAUUGCAAGGGGGUUGUAAGGUAUGUAAAAUUUGAUGUUAAUUCUCUACUUGAAAUUCUCAUGAAUUUAGGAUAUUCGAAAUUUGUUGAUGCAUGUUCGUUAUAUGAUGAAAUAGGAACAUUGUAGUGUCUAGGAGUAAACCCUAGACAAGCAUAUGAUGAAAUUAGGUCUAAAUCUUGUGAAUUCAUGAUCACCAUUGAAGGUGAUAAGUGUGAUGAUGCUAAAUUCGUGUAAUGUGAUGUUCUUAGGGUUUUUGAUGGCUAAAAAUAGUGCUAUAAUAUCAUAAACAUGUUUCGAUUGAAAACUGAAUUCAAACAGCUUCUGAUCAGAAUUUACAGCCGAAUUGUAUUGGCUGUAACGUGGACAAAACCUGACAAAAACGUUUGUUUCUUGAGUCUAAAAUGUAAUUCCAGGAAAUAUCUUUAAAACCCCACUGGAAUCGCAUUUUUUCGACUAAAAUUGAGCGUUUUAUGAAUUUUUCCGUAUCAAAGGUUCAAGCUGCGUUUUCUAGCAGAAUUUGCAGCCCAUUACGAAUGUCAUAACUCAAUUUAGGAAUUGAGUUAUGAUCUCAAAUUCUUACUGUAGAGAGUAUUAAGUUAUUAGAAGAAUCUCCAAUUGGAAUUUCGUCAAUCGGAUAAACGAGGAAUUUUUAAUGAAUUUUUUCGUAAGCUGCAGUCCGAAGUGACGAAUCUGAUUGCAGCUUAUUAGAUGAAUUUUUACGAAUUUUUGGUAAAGAGUUAGAUCUUGAAAUUUUAACACAAGGGCUACCCCUCCGAGAGGUACGCCACAUAAAAAAAUCAUAAUUUUUGAAGACUUGUAAACAGGUUAAACAGGUCACCAAAAACAGCCUAUUUUCAGUGAUACGAAACUUGAUUGUUGAUAUUAUAAAUUAUGCCCACAAUGUUCAUAUGUUGAAAUUAUGAAUCAAACGCGUAAUUUCCUAGUUCGACUAAUUAUGUGUGAUGUGGGGUAAUACAAAUUUUAAUUAUGAAGUCGAUUUAGCUUAUAUGCACAUAUCAUAUAAUUAAGGGUAGUUAACUUUUGAAGAGUUAAACUAACCAUGGACGGAGUCGAAUAGUAGUUUUGACAUAGAAAACACGUAAGGUGGAAUAGUCGUGGUUAUAAUGACUAAUCUAACCACCUUGUGAAUUAUGAUGAUAAUUUGACUCUUGACAAGCUAGAUGGAGGCUUGGAAUGAAGCGGGUCAAACGGAGCAAGUACGAAAAGGAAAGCGUAAUUUGGAUGCGAGGUUGUAAAUACGACAAAAGCUAUAUUUGAAAUAUGGUUCCGACACGAAAUGAAACGGGUCGGGACAUAUAAAAUAAUGAUAAACCAUGUUUAAUGGUAAAAUGGGCGAAAUGGUAAUUGGUCACGAGAUGACCUAUAUAUAAAAUGAGUUUUUGAAUGGCUACUUAUUAAGGUAAGCCUAAACGAAUAAAAAGAGCAAAACGACGAAUUAGUCAUGUGUAGACGAAAAAGAGUUGAAGUUUAAAACAACACCAUUUAAUAUUAAGCACAAAAUAUUUGGUAGUCUAGACCAAACGGGUCAAAUGGUAAUAUUUAUACCAUUUGACAAUUAACGACUAAUAAGUGUAUGUCGAGUCUCAUGCUCGCAGGGUAAUUGGUUUAUGAAUUAGCGAGGCUAUGAAUUAGCAUAUUAUAGAGACAAGGUCUUAAAACGGGUCAAUAUGUUGACCCGAGCCAGGUACGCUUAUAUAUAUAGAUGUAUAGUUAAAAGUGUUUAACUUCCCUUCACGGGUCAAAAGGAGUAGAUAGGUAAAACGGGUUAAGAAUUCAUAAGAAACCCGUAAUUUGAACCUUGCACAUUAGUAAAUUGAUAUAACGUGAUAUGCAUGAUAUUUUGAAUAUGAUUGAUUGAUCUUUGAUAUUGGUUCAUAUGUAACAUAUUAGAAUUUUGAGAAACUAAUGUAUUGGUAUGUUAGAAAGAGCGAAAUUCGAGAUUUAGGCUUGAGUAUAAUGAACAAAGCAACCAAAAGAUGGAUUUACAGGGACUACCGUAAGUUACGGUAGUAUCGUAAGUUACGGUAGAGGUCAGGAGCUUACGGUGUGAGUCUACUGGUUUACGGUGGACCAUUAUUGGAAAUUGACCUUACGGUAGGGCCUGAAUGUUUAUAAAUUUUAUAUAAUUGUAAAUUUUCAAAUUCAUUUCGAUCGUAGUUUCGAUCAAGUAUCAUUUCUAAGCAUUCUAAUAUAAAUGUUUAUGUAAACAUUUCAGUCUUAGGUACUCAAGGAUUAUGGGUGACGAUCAAGCAACUUUUGAAGGACCGAACACAUACUCUUGAAGCUUCCGCAUAAAUCAACUCGGUUUAAACAAUGUUUAUGAUGUAAACUGUUUGCUAAACAACUUUUGAAAUGUUUAAACGACGUACUCAAUUAUGUUAUGUUGUAUUAUUUUAAAAUUGUAAAGUUUAAACAAACCCGUAUUUUUACAAAGUAUAUGUAGUCAUAAUUACAUGUUGUUUGUCGUAUACUUUACAAAAACCAUUAAAUAAUGACAAGGGUGUUACAAAUUGGUAUCAGAGCUCAUGGUUAAAGAGUAAAUUGUGUUUGGUUCGAGGCUUGAUCGCAAAUCCGGUAAGUACAUGUAUAUUAAUGGUUUGUUAUGUGUUGAAAUGUUGUGAACAACACAUAGGGUUAUCGUGUGAUACACGUUACCUCAAUUAAAUGAUAAAUAUAGUUGACAAAAUUGCGCGCGUUGACGCGUAUAGUAGAUAAGCCUUGUAUUAUAAUACGGGCGAUUAUUGAAGUUGAUAUUACUAAUUCUUGUAAAUGUUUUAAUUGAAGGACACUCGCAUCUGAAGAUAGCGAGAGUUUAACAAAUUGCGGAUAUGACGAUGGAACGGUUCGAGAUGUGACAAGAAGAGCAUACUCAUCAAGGACUUAAAUCGCGUAACGAUCGCAAAUAAGUAAUGGCAAGGAAUGCCCGUUGGGGCAAGCAUUACCAGGUGCACAUUUUAAACUUAUAGUACAAACAGUAAUAUGCAACAAAUACAUAGUGAAUGACAGUUGCAUAUAGAAUAUGAAACUUGGAAAACCUGGAUAGGUCCUAUCCAGGAUGACGUUUCCAAGAGAAAUUCAGUAGAGAAUAUGUAUUAUUCACAAAUUGUGAAUAACAAGACAAUAACAGAAUUCAGUUUAUAUAGAAACUUGGACGAGAGUGAUCAUCCAAGUAAGUAUUCUCAAUAUAAAUCCUAUUGAGAAAAGUAAUGAUCACAUCAACGAAUGUGAAUAAAUGUUUAUAAAAAGGGACAUUUUAAAUGUUCAAGGAUAAACGACUAAAACUAAUAAUUGUUAACUAACAAUUAAAUAAAGUU